This is a non-coding RNA of Annulohypoxylon bovei var. microspora, 73 nucleotides long. Lineage: Eukaryota; Fungi; Ascomycota; Sordariomycetes; Xylariales; Hypoxylaceae. The record is from the annotation of a GenBank genome assembly.
GGCCGCUUGGCCCAAUGGUUAAGGCGUCUGACUACGAAUCAGGAGAUUCUGGGUUCGACUCCCAGGGUGGCCU